GAUGAAGAACGCAGCGAAAUGCGAUAAGUAAUGUGAAUUGCAGAAUUCCGUGAAUCAUCGAAUCUUUGAACGCACAUUGCGCCCCCUGGUAUUCCGGGGGGCAUGCCUGUCCGAGCGUCAUUACAACCCUCAAGCUCAGCUUGGUGUUGGGCCCCGCCGCCCCGGCGGGCCCUAAAGUCAGUGGCGGUGCCGUCCGGCUCCGAGCGUAGUAAUUCUUCUCGCUCUGGAGGUCCGGUCGUGUGCUCGCCAGCAACCCCCAAUUUUUUUCAGGUUGACCUCGGAUCAGGUAGGGAUACCCGCUGAACUUAAGCAUAUCAAUAAGCGGAGGA
RNAcentral lists this unclassified non-coding RNA (329 nucleotides) under soil metagenome. Its description in RNAcentral is "partial contains 5.8S ribosomal RNA, internal transcribed spacer 2, and large subunit ribosomal RNA". The stretch from base 1 to 120 matches the Rfam family "5.8S ribosomal RNA", at positions 35 to 154 of the family's 154-position model. The record is from RNAcentral.